This 31-nucleotide non-coding RNA is filed under the name Macaca fascicularis (crab-eating macaque). The record is from RNAcentral. Lineage: Eukaryota; Metazoa; Chordata; Mammalia; Primates; Cercopithecidae. RNAcentral also lists the same sequence under 1 other name.
UGAUGCUUCUCUGUAGAUGCAGAUUUGGGGU